Long non-coding RNA from Dufourea novaeangliae, 745 nucleotides. RefSeq lists it as uncharacterized. The record is from RefSeq and is a predicted model, not a curated record. Lineage: Eukaryota; Metazoa; Arthropoda; Insecta; Hymenoptera; Halictidae. The transcript is spliced from 3 exons.
CUCGCAAUAUUUUUCGAUUAUUGCGUCCAGUCGAUAUCAGAUCUGUUUAAAAGCACUGUCGAAGGUACGAUUUGACUCAUAUGACGAGUCUCGAUCGUACGCAGUUCUCUUUGUAAACGAUCCAAUCACGCGACACGACCGUCAAGAAUGCAGACUCAGGGGGGAGGAUAUGUAAAUAAACUCGUACCACCUUCGUACGAGGAGUCUACGAAUCCGCAUCCAGUAUACAGUGUGGCUUAUCACCAACCAUCGGCGCCUACUAACUCGCAACGUACCGAAUUUUCGGGGAACCAUGUUCAAUCACCGAACAACUCAUCGCAUACAGAGCCUACAGUGGUGCACGUUAUCGCAACACCGUAUUGGGCGGCAGGCAAGAAACGACGCUGCUUGUACACCUUCAUAUCGAUGCUCUCGAUCGUGCUAUGUAUAAUAAUCUUUGUAAGGGUAUUGGUGAUGUUAGCGUGAUGAGUCUGCAAGACAUUAGAGCUGCUUCUUAUGGUUUCUUUGAUUCCCAAUUGAAAUACACGGCGUGCCAUGGACACUGAGAUUCGAUACUAAUACUCUGGAUAAAGUGAUAAGGAACAUAAGUAAAUAACUUCGUUAACGAGCCGCACGAUGGAUACGACGUUCGAUUUUUUUCACCUAUGACCCUCCAUUUAUGUUAAGUACUACAAAAAAAUAUAUAAAAAUGGAUGAGAAGAUCGUUUUUAUGGAAAACGAAUAAACGUUGUUACGAGUGAUUUAA